CAAGACGAGGAUAACCGUUGGAAACGAUGGCCGAGACUGGAUAGGAAUACGGGAGGCAUCUUCUGUAUUUUAAAAGACCUGGCAACAGGUAUGCUUGAGGAGGGGCCUGCGGCGCAUUAGUUAGUUGGUGAGGUGAUGGCUUACCAAGACGAUGAUGCGUAGCCGGACUGAGAGGUUGAACGGCCACAUUGGGACUGAGAGACGGCCCAAACUCCUACGGGAGGCAGCAGUAGGGAAUUUUCGGCAAUGGGGGAAACCCUGAACCCGAGCAACGCCGCGUGAACGACGAAGUACUUCGGUAUGUAAAGUUCUUUUAAGAGGGAAGAAUGGCCCGUGGAAAAGCGGGCGUGACGGUACCUUUUGAAUAAGCCCCGGCUAACUAUGUGCCAGCAGCGGC
Molecule: ribosomal RNA, 397 nt
Filed under: uncultured bacterium
Lineage: Bacteria
Description: bacterial SSU rRNA
Rfam family: Bacterial small subunit ribosomal RNA
Source: RNAcentral